AUUGAACGCUGGCGGCAUGCCUUACACAUGCAAGUCGAACGGCAGCGGACCUUCGGGUGCCGGCGAGUGGCGAACGGGUGAGUAAUAUAUCGGAACGUACCUUUCAGUGGGGGAGUAACGUAGCGAAAGUUAACGCUAAUACCGCAUAUUCUGUGAGCAGGAAAGCAGGGGAGUCGCAAGACCUUGCGCUGAUUGAGCGGCCGAUAUCAGAUUAGCUAGUUGGUGAGGUAAAGGACUCACCAAGGCGACGAUCUGUAGCGGGUCGUGAGAGGAUGAUCCGCCACACUGGAACUGAGACACGGUCCAGACUCCUACGGGAGGGCAGCAGUGGGGAAGUUUUGGUACAAUGGGCGGCAAGACCUGAUCCAGCCA
RNAcentral lists this ribosomal RNA (372 nucleotides) under uncultured bacterium. Its description in RNAcentral is "bacterial SSU rRNA". It matches the Rfam family "Bacterial small subunit ribosomal RNA", at positions 30 to 394 of the family's 1533-position model. The record is from RNAcentral.